This 253-nucleotide ribosomal RNA is filed under the name uncultured bacterium. RNAcentral's name for it is "partial 16S ribosomal RNA". It matches the Rfam family "Bacterial small subunit ribosomal RNA", at positions 524 to 776 of the family's 1533-position model. The record is from RNAcentral.
UACGAAGGAUCCAAGCGUUAUCCGGAUUCAUUGGGUUUAAAGGGUGCGUAGGCGGUUUAGUAAGUCAGUGGUGAAAUCCUCCCGCUUAACGGGAGAACUGCCAUUGAUACUGCUGGACUAGAGUACAGAUGACGUUGGCGGAAUGUGUCAUGUAGCGGUGAAAUGCAUAGAUAUGACACAGAACACCGAUUGCGAAGGCAGCUGACGAAACUGAAACUGACGCUGAGGCACGAAAGUGUGGGGAUCAAACAGG